UGGGGAAUUUUGGGCAAUGGGCGCAAGCCUGACCCAGCAACGCCGCGUGGAGGACGAAGGUCUUCGGAUCGUAAACUCCUGUCCGGAAGGACGAAGGAAGUGACGGUACUUCUGGAGGAAGCCCCGGCUAACUCCGUGCCAGCAGCCGCGGUAAUACGGGGGGGGCAAGCGUUGUUCGGAAUUACUGGGCGUAAAGGGCGCGUCGGCGGUUUCGGAAGUCCUGGGUGAAAGCCCCGGGCUCAACUCGGG
RNAcentral lists this ribosomal RNA (249 nucleotides) under uncultured Acidobacteriota bacterium. RNAcentral describes it as "uncultured Acidobacteria bacterium partial 16S ribosomal RNA". It matches the Rfam family "Bacterial small subunit ribosomal RNA", at positions 355 to 618 of the family's 1533-position model. The record is from RNAcentral. Lineage: Bacteria; Pseudomonadati; Acidobacteriota.